AGGGAAUCUUCCGCAAUGGACGAAAGUCUGACGGAGCAACGUCGCGUGAGUGAUGAAGGUUUUCGGAUCGUAAAGCUCUGUUGCCAGGGAAGAAUGUCCGUUAGAGUAACUGCUAACGGAGUGACGGUACCUGAGAAGAAAGCCCCGGCUAACUACGUGCCAGCAGCCGCGGUAAUACGUAGGGGGCAAGCGUUGUCCGGAAUUAUUGGGCGUAAAGCGCGCGCAGGCGGCUGUUUAAGUCUGGUGUUUAAUCCUGGGGCUCAACCCCGGGUCGCACUGGAAACUGGACGGCUUGAGUGCAGAAGAGGAGAGUGGAAUUCCACGUGUAGCGGUGAAAUGCGUAGAGAUGUGGAGGAACACCAGUGGCGAAGGCGACUCUCUGGGCUGUAACUGACGCUGAGGCGCGAAAGCGUGGGGAGCAAAC
This 424-nucleotide ribosomal RNA is filed under the name uncultured bacterium. Its description in RNAcentral is "bacterial SSU rRNA". It matches the Rfam family "Bacterial small subunit ribosomal RNA", at positions 356 to 773 of the family's 1533-position model. The record is from RNAcentral.